AGAGUUUGAUCAUGGCUCAGGACGAACGCUGGCGGCGUGCUUAACACAUGCAAGUCGAGCGAUGAAAUCCCUUCGGGGAUGGAUUAGCGGCGGACGGGUGAGUAACACGUGGGUAACCUGCCUCAUAGAGGGGAAUAGCCUUCCGAAAGGAAGAUUAAUACCGCAUAAGAUUGUAGUACCGCAUGGUACAGCAAUUAAAGGAGCAAUCCGCUAUGAGAUGGACCCGCGUCGCAUUAGCUAGUUGGUGAGGUAACGGCUCACCAAGGCGACGAUGCGUAGCCGACCUGAGAGGGUGAUCGGCCACAUUAGGACUGAGACACGGCCCAGACUCCUACGGGAGGCAGCAGUGGGGAAUAUUGCACAAUGGGGGAAACCCUGAUGCAGCAACGCCGCGUGAGUGAUGACGGUCUUCGGAUUGUAAAGCUCUGUCUUCAGGGACGAUAAUGACGGUACCUGAGGAGGAAGCCACGGCUAACUACGUGCCAGCAGCCGCGGUAAUACGUAGGUGGCAAGCGUUGUCCGGAUUUACUGGGCGUAAAGGGAGCGUAGGUGGAUAUUUAAGUGGGAUGUGAAAUACUCGGGCUUAACCUGGGUGCUGCAUUCCAAACUGGAUAUCUAGAGUGCAGGAGAGGAAAGUAGAAUUCCUAGUGUAGCGGUGAAAUGCGUAGAGAUUAGGAAGAAUACCAGUGGCGAAGGCGACUUUCUGGACUGUAACUGACACUGAGGCUCGAAAGCGUGGGGAGCAAACAGGAUUAGAUACCCUGGUGGUCCACGCCGUAAACGAUGAAUACUAGGUGUAGGGGUUGUCAUGACCUCUGUGCCGCCGCUAACGCAUUAAGUAUUCCGCCUGGGGAGUACGGUCGCAAGAUUAAAACUCAAAGGAAUUGACGG
Molecule: ribosomal RNA, 891 nt
Filed under: uncultured bacterium
Lineage: Bacteria
Description: bacterial SSU rRNA
Rfam family: Bacterial small subunit ribosomal RNA
Source: RNAcentral